GACUGGCUGGGACAUCGUGAAAUCGUUUCAGGCAUCGCCCUCAUCUCCUGUCUUCCAUUUGAGCUGCACAUAAGAUAAGCAGAUUUUGCAUGCUUCCAGGGUACCUUCCAUUCCAGUGAAUCACAGCUCCCACUUUCUUGAAGUUCUGUGGUGUCUCUAAAGUAAAUUCUUCAGCCUACAAGCUCAGUACUUCCCGUCUCCCUCCAUCUUCGUGGGAGUGAAGCGAGGCAUCAUUUAUGGACCUGAGGACAAUCCCCAAAGCUCUUCUCUGGGACCAUGGACGGAUGUCUGUUUCCAGCCCUGAGUUAUUUUUCUCUGUUGACUUCAUUUCUGCCUUCCGCCUCCGGAGUGCUGGAAUGGUUUGCCAGUGGCCCCUCCUUUCCCUCCUCAAGUGGCAGUGACACCUGGCCAUCUCUCAUGCAGGAAGUCUUGGCUGAACGAUCACGGAGAAUGACUCACAGAAUCAAAGGAUGGAGGGAAGGUGGUGUCUCCACAUUUUUAGGCAAAUGGAAGUUGAAUCUGCCAAGUAACCCUCCAACUCCUCUCUCCUUGAAAGGAUGCGCUGCACCAAAGGGAAGGAAGGAAUUUGUCAGAAACCACAGCACAAUUAAUGGUUGAAUCAAGC
RNAcentral lists this long non-coding RNA (625 nucleotides) under Sus scrofa (pig). Its description in RNAcentral is "lncRNA (ENSSSCG00070018910.1)". Lineage: Eukaryota; Metazoa; Chordata; Mammalia; Artiodactyla; Suidae. The record is from RNAcentral.